RNAcentral lists this unclassified non-coding RNA (1338 nucleotides) under Octopus sinensis (East Asian common octopus). RNAcentral's name for it is "caspase-3-like, transcript variant X5". Lineage: Eukaryota; Metazoa; Mollusca; Cephalopoda; Octopoda; Octopodidae. The record is from RNAcentral.
UCUUAUCCUAGACCAGGAAGUGAAAAUAGGUCGACCGAUCCUUCAGGUAAAAAUUGAUAUUUAUUUUACAGAUUUCUCUUGUUUUAACAUCUAUAAUCUUAUACAAACAUGAGCUGUGAACAAGGACAUAAAAUUUCUCAGCAACGAUUUAUGCAAAUCCGAGUUGAUUUUGUAAAACACGUGGACGAUAUCAGAUCAUUUUUAGAUUAUGCUGUGCCCAGUGGUUUAUUGACUAAGGGACAUGAAAAUAGAAUAAUGUCCGAGAGAAAUCCUGACGACCAAACACGACAGUUACAUGAUUAUAUAUAUAAAAAACUUCCGUAUGAUUCAGAUAAAUUGAUGUCAGCCUUGAAAGAGUCGAAACAUUUUAAGAUAUUUGAUCUUUUAGACGAACAGUCAGUCUACCCGAUGAAAUUCAAAACACAUGGUCGAGUUGUAUUAAUAAAUAAUGUGAAAUUUGACGAUGAAGAGAAGUAUCCAGAAAGGCUCGGAAGCGAAAAAGAUGUGGAGGGUAUCACGAAACUUUUCACUGCUUUCAAUUUCGAUGUUCAACUUUAUUCUAAUAAAACGGCCGAGGAAAUGGAAGAUUCGAUUCUAAAAGAAGCUGCAGAAAGUACAGCCAAUGAGGAUUGUUUCGUUAUGUUCUUGAUGUCACACGGUGCUUUAGGGAAUAUUGUCGGAGUUGAUGGUGAGAAAUUACCUUAUUCCACUAUUAACAAAAUUCUAAAGAAGAGCACUCCCUUGAAAAACAAACCAAAACUCAUUUAUGUAAAUACUUGUGAAAUUAAUCCUACCGAGAAAGAUAUCAAGAAAUAUUUCAACGUUCCAGAUCUCUAUGUUACGUUUGCCACUGUUCCAGAAAGCCUAGCUUUUCCAACUGAUGAAAGUGGUUCUGUUUUCAUAAAAUGUUUAAUCAGUGUUUAUGAAACGAACAAAGAUAGAUGUGACAUCUCUUCAUUAUCACUUGAUAUAAAUUCACAAGUUUCGAAGGAAGGCAAUGAGAUUUCCAUGGAUCAGGUUUCAAGUUCUUUCUCUACGUUGAAGAAAAAUGUGAUACUUCGAGCCAAAGACUAACCAGAUUCCGUCCCAAUUCUCUCUUCUUCUUCUCUCAUUAAAAUAUAAAGGAAAUUGAACAACAAUGGUAUGUACGUUAAACCUUUCCAAAUUCGCCUCCAUCCACAACCUAAUCUGUAUACUUGGAUUCCACUUCACCUGACUAAUAAGUAUUUCUGAUUUCGGUACAAAGCCAACAAUUUAAAGAGGAGGACUUAUCAGACACCAUUCUCUGCAGAACUUUAUUUUAUUUUAUAAAUUACAUACGAUAUUUCUUUUGAAUUC